Molecule: long non-coding RNA, 614 nt
Organism: Cyanistes caeruleus (blue tit)
Lineage: Eukaryota; Metazoa; Chordata; Aves; Passeriformes; Paridae
Source: RefSeq, a predicted model, not a curated record
CCUACCGCCGCCCCGCUCCCCUCGGCCGCCCCACGGGCUGAGGGGAACCCCGGCCAUUCUCAUUUUAAACUGCUGCGAACUUGUUCUCCCGCGGAGAUCCCUGCCCACGCGGGCUGGGGGGAGCUGGAGACAGCACAGGGGUGCCGGAGGCACCUUUACACGCUCCCUUUUGUAAUGCGGCGGGGGGCUUUACUCGUAAUGGGUUUCCUGGAGGACUUUCUUGAGCAGAGUUAGGCGCACAUUUGUCCCCAGGCUUCAUGGAGGUCGCCACAGGAUUGCGCAGCACAGCGGCGUUGUCACAGAAAGCAUUGCACUGCAAGGUGUUACGGAAAGGUUUGCUACUUACCUGUGGCUAAAAUGCAGCCUCUGGGUAUAAAGCCUAGGAAUCACAGACCACAUGAUAUGUCAAACUCUCUUCACAGCGCAGAGACAGAUUGAAGCAGCAAUUAUCUUCUCUUCACAGACCUGGUGAAAGACUGACAGCACCGGAAAAAUUAGCAAGGAGGUUCUGUGAUCUGGAGCUGGAACUGAUGGUAUGAGAGGCAGGAAAACCUGACUGGUGCAGGCCCUAUUCAUCAGUCUUAUUGACAAUAAAUACUGACUAAUGUAAUUUU